UUGGACACGUAUAAAAUGACAUUGUAUAUAAUUAUACUUUCGAUCGUUACUUGGUUACCAAAAUAAUUGUGUACACCUAAACCUUAUAAUAAAUCAACUCCAACAAAACAGAUAACAAGCUCAUCACUCAUCAGUCGCCAUAGUGUUAAGAGUUAGCUCUACAAAAUAUAUUAACUACAAUAAUAAAUCAACUUUGUACAAACCAAAGAUGAGGUAAUAAUGAAGGAUACUUUAUCACUACGCUUUAGAUUCUAAAUGUAGAACCUAUUGGUUUUACUAAAAUAUGUUUUUAUUUUUAUUUUUUCCUCGAAAAAUACUUUUUUGGGUGAUAAAAAUUCUUCAAAACGUUUACUUCUACCUUAAAAGAUGCAAAUUGGCCACUCGAUGAUAACUUCUAAAUUUUAAACACUUUUAUAGAUUUCUAAAAGUUUUCAUAAGCUUUUUUGGAAACUAAAAAUGCUCAAAAACAUUGAUAUAUCUACUUUAAAAUGUACGGGUUUUUUUAUUUCCCUUAAAAAUCUAACAAAUAUCACAGUCGUAUAAACAGCAAUGAAAUGUUCGUUUAUUAAUUAUUGUACAUAUUAUUAUUAUGACAUUUUUAACGGCUAUGCAGUAUAUUUCGAGUAAAAUGCGUUAUCAUCGUUUCCGAUUCCCCAGAUAUUGGCAUGUAUUGUAUUUUAAAUGCUGCAUACAGUAUGUUUUAAAAAGAUCAAAUUUAAUAAUAAUUACUGUGUGAGUAUAAGGAUUUGGCGUUAUUUGGUUUUUUAGUAAAUUGUAUUAUGAUGUAUCAAAAUUUCUGAUACCUCUGCAAUACUCUGUAUACACAACUAGCAAAAUAUCGAGAACGCCACCACAUAACACACAAACACGCAUAUCGAUCGAAUAGAACAAUAAUAGUGUCAAGCAAGUUUUUUCAAACUUGGACAAUGCGAAUUCUGAUUUUUAAUGAGUUUUUCGUCAUUGUCUAGUUCAUUAGUUGAUAGUACUGAACUAUAGCAAAUAAUUGAAACGGGUAAUACUAGCGCCCGAUGCACGUAUGAUUUUGUACGUAAAAAAUGUUUAAUGAAUUGUAAUAAUCCAAGAUUCGCGUAAAAUAUCCGAAAAUAAUUCAUUAGAACAGUAUUUAUGCCAAAAAUAUAUAAAUUCGAGAUCUUUUCAGGAAUGUUUCAAAAUAGUUCAGUUAGAUUAAAAAUUGGACAAGAUAACAAAUCCGUAUGUAUAGGAUAUAGUCCAUAUAUUACUCCAUGGGUCGAUGUCGUGCCCUCUAUCAAUGACCUCAACGUUUACUCGCUGGAAAGCUCUAAACAAGUACUCUGCAUCUAGUGGUUCAUAUAUCACCACGAUGAUCCUUCAAAAUUUGUUUUACCCCGUUAAUACGCAUGAUAUCAUUAAAAUAAAAUUUUAUUUUCCUAAAUGCUGAUUUAAAACUUUUAGACAGUCUAAUUAAACUUAUUAUUUAUAUAAUUUGUGUUUGGAUUUGUUCAUUUUGGAUAAUGUCGAGUUUUACAUCGAAAUUCACGAUAAUUAGCGUAUCAAUAAAACGAUUGACGGACUUGUCCAAACUGGAGUCGACCGAUUACAAUAAUCUGGGCUCACCGACGCUUCACCCUCUGGCACAUCGUCGCCGUGACACUCGAACGGAUAAUGUUCAUCACGUACUUUGCUAUGGCCGCCAUCGUAAUGCGAUCCUCGGUCUAGAUCACGGCCACAUUCCCCCCCC
This 1720-nucleotide long non-coding RNA is filed under the name Cinara cedri. The record is from RNAcentral. Lineage: Eukaryota; Metazoa; Arthropoda; Insecta; Hemiptera; Aphididae.